Molecule: ribosomal RNA, 253 nt
Filed under: uncultured bacterium
Lineage: Bacteria
Description: partial 16S ribosomal RNA
Rfam family: Bacterial small subunit ribosomal RNA
Source: RNAcentral
UACGAAGGGGGCUAGCGUUGCUCGGAAUCACUGGGCGUAAAGGGUGCGUAGGCGGGUUGGUAAGUCCGUGGUGAAAUCUCCAAGCUUAACUUGGAAACUGCCGUGGAUACUAUCAAUCUUGAAUAUCGUGGAGGUAAGCGGAAUAUGUCAUGUAGCGGUGAAAUGCUUAGAUAUGAUAUAGAACACCGAUUGCGAAGGCAGCUCACUAAACAGGUAUUGACGCUGAGGCACGAAAGCGUGGGGAUCAAACAGG